UACGUAGGGGGCAAGCGUUGUCCGGAAUUAUUGGGCGUAAAGAGCGUGUAGGCGGUCCGGUAAGUCAGCUGUGAAAGUCAAGGGCUCAACCCUUGAAAGCCGGUUGAUACUGUCGGGCUAGAGUCCGGAAGAGGCGAGUGGAAUUCCCGGUGUAGCGGUGAAAUGCGCAGAUAUCGGGAGGAACACCCGUAGCGAAGGCGGCACUCUGGGCCGAUACUGACACUGAGGAGCGAAAGCGUGGGGAGCGAACAGG
Molecule: ribosomal RNA, 253 nt
Filed under: uncultured bacterium
Lineage: Bacteria
Description: partial 16S ribosomal RNA
Rfam family: Bacterial small subunit ribosomal RNA
Source: RNAcentral